GACGAACGCUGGCGGCGUGCUUAACACAUGCAAGUCGAACGGAAAGGCCCUGCUUUUGUGGGGUGCUCGAGUGGCGAACGGGUGAGUAACACGUGAGUAACCUGCCCUUGACUUUGGGAUAACUUCAGGAAACUGGGGCUAAUACCGGAUAGGAGCUCCUGCUGCAUGGUGGGGGUUGGAAAGUUUCGGCGGUUGGGGAUGGACUCGCGGCUUAUCAGCUUGUUGGUGGGGUAGUGGCUUACCAAGGCUUUGACGGGUAGCCGGCCUGAGAGGGUGACCGGCCACAUUGGGACUCAGAUACGGCCCAGACUCCUACGGGAGGCAGCAGUGGGGAAUAUUGCACAAUGGGCGGAAGCCUGAUGCAGCAACGCCGCGUGCGGGAUGACGGCCUUCGGGUUGUAAACCGCUUUCGCCUGUGACGAAGCGUGAGUGACGGUAAUGGGUAAAGAAGCACCGGCUAACUACGUG
RNAcentral lists this ribosomal RNA (468 nucleotides) under uncultured bacterium. Its description in RNAcentral is "partial 16S ribosomal RNA". It matches the Rfam family "Bacterial small subunit ribosomal RNA", at positions 28 to 507 of the family's 1533-position model. The record is from RNAcentral.